AAUGCUUCUCUUUCUCCAAAACAGAGAGGCGAAGGAGGUCCCGUCCGCAGUCCCGUCCGCCGCUGUCCCAUCCGCCGCCGGCUUCUCUUCUACACCCACUCCCAUCCGCCACCGGCUUCUCUUCUACGCCCCGCAGUCCCGUCCGCCGCCGGCUUCUGUGCUCCCCCCACCGCCACCCUUCCGUCGAGAUAUGCCCGCCUUCUCUUCUGCGCCCCGCGCCGGAUCUGGAUCCGGCGGAAAGCAGGGAGGGGCGGUGGGAGCUGGGCGGCGGAGCGGCCUCGCAGCGGCUUGCAAAAUAGAAGCCGCCGUCUCCCUCGCUCCAUCCCCUGCCGUCGCCGUCUUCCUUGCUCCAUCCCCCGCCACCCCCACCGCUCGACAAAGCUGCCAUCCUCACUCCAUCCCCACCCUUCAGCGCUCGGCCGAAGCCGCCUCCCCUCGCUCUGUUCCACCACCAGCAUUCCAUCCCCAUCCACUCAUUGCAGCUCGAUUCCAUCUAGCCUAACGGCAGCGGCGGCAAUGUAGAGAGCACGUGGUAGUGCGCCUCGACGGCGGCGGUAGAGGACGGCUGGGCGGCACGCGACGCCACGAGGCAGCUCGGGCCUCACCUAUGCCGGUGUCUACUCCAUGCCGCUCAGUUGGAGAUCAAGUUGAGUCUUUCGUACAUUGCCAUGGCGUUGUCUCGCUGUUGAGGUGUCCGAAGCCUCCAUCCCAGCGCCCAACUGGAGUUCAAAGGGUGUCUUUUCCAAAGGAGAGGAAAGAAAAAGCAGUUGGGGGAGGAUUAGGGAGAAUUGAAUUCUAGGAGGGUAGGGGAAACCCUAGCCGCCGCCCCAAAUCCGGCACCUGCCAGGACAGACCCCUUCCUCCCUUCACUCCAGCAGCCUUCCCUCACCUCCAGCACUCCACCAAGGAAGGAAAGCUGGUGCAAGAUUUUUGAAGAAUCAAGGCUUCUCAGUUGCUCAAGUAUCACGUACUUCUCUUCUCCACGCUUUUGCUCCCUUUCCUGUUUCUCUCCGGUUGCCAAUCCUCACCAAGUGCGUGCUCUGAAGUCUGCAGGUUGUUUCCUUAGUUUGGUUUUGCAUGACAGAGAAUCUAUGUUGUCCUGCCUGAAUAAGUUUGACGUUGUUUAGAUGAGCUUGAAAUACUAAAACCACAACCCCAACGUCAUCUGCAUUCACUUGAUUUAGAAUUGAAUGGGAGUGCAAUAGUGCAUCUCGUAAUGCCGGCAAAUAACUCGGGGAAAUAGAAAACACUUGCAUUUUGUUAACUGCUAUUAGGUAGCCUCUAAGGCAAAUAUUUCUUUUUCUUCUUUUGUUUAUUUAAUUUCUUCUUCUUUUCUUGUUCUUCCUUUUGUUCUGCAAAUGCCUCAGGCAGUGCAAGUUGGUGAGAGAGAAGGGGCUGUUGACCCAAAGUUGUUAACUAGAUAAUUAGUCUAUCAGUUGUUAAGAACCAUUAUCAUUUUUUUAUAGUUCUGCCUAGGGUUUAUUAUGAAUUUAUACAAUCUUUUCAAAUUGAGUUUAGGUAAAAAUUUCAGAAUGCUAGCAAGACGUUAUGAGCUGCAUUUGUACCUUCUUUUGCAGAAGCGAGAGUGUGAGACGAUCUUUUGCCAAAUAGAGAUAAAUCAAACUUAUUUUUACGAGGACAAUAACAAUUAGUUUCGGUUAUUUCAAAUGGUAUAGGCCCAUUAAUCAAAACCAGUUAAUGUUAAGCUUUUUUUAGAAAGGUGUUCUGUAAAUGACUAUGUAACACUUCAAAAUGAUGCUUUGCUUAUGCCAUUGUGUGCUAUACAGGUCUCAAGUUUAAAUUACAUUACUAUUCACCCAUAUUGAUCAAUCUUUUACAAAGAAAAUGACUGAUGCUGAAGAGAACAUGUGAAUCACAAACGCCUGUUUGUAGACUAUGAUUACUUUUGCCCGAAUCUCGACAUGAUGUUGUUUUCAAAUUUAUAAAAUUGUUGUAAGGUUUUUCUUUGUAAAGGCUUAUCUUUGGAGUGUUGGGAAGUAUACAAGAAAUUUAGUGCCAUUGUUUUAGUUCAAAAUGACAUUAGAUGCAUCAUGCACAGUCUACGUGUAAAAUAGGAGUACCUUUUUUCCUACAAAUAAUAUCCCUUGCAUCUUACUGGAGGCUAAAACAAUGGGGCACAGCACCUUAACGUGUGUGUUUUAUGAGUGCAUCAAGCAUUGUCUUCUGAAGGAAAAGAUUAGAUGUCAAUGCAGCACACAAAUAAUAUCCUACAGGGAUGUUGAAAUUCAUUUGUGCUAUGGAAGAGCAAAGAAGAUGCUUGUUUAUAGGUUAAUUAUUGUACGAAACAAUUGGACAGUAUUGUUUCAUAUUGUUUCUUGCUCAUUUAACAUGCAGCUACAAUUCAUAUCUCUACUUGGAACUCACCAUAAGGCAUAGGAUUUCCUAUAGCAGAAAGUGUUGUGCAAUGUAAUUUGACUUUCUUUGUGCCACUUAAUAGAAUGACAAGUAGUUAGACUUCAAUUUGAAUUUCUUUACUUUGAUGCUCUGAAGUAGUUGUUCAUUGUUUAUAAUCUUGAUUUUUGUUUUAUGUAAUUGUUCAAAAUUAAAAGAAAUUAUCCAUUGCCCGUAGCAAUGCACGUGCAUAUUUCCAUGUGUGGAUCCAUAUUAGGAACAAGCGAAGAGCAAGGACCUGUAGCAACGCACGGGCAUUUCUGCUAGUUAGUUUUAAACAAAGGUGAUCUGCGGCAAACUCUAAGUGAUUACGUUUGGAGUUCAGGUUGCCUGAUCUAGCAGAUCUAGAGCAAAGCUUACGGCGGUAGGUAGUCCAGCGGCAACAGUGGAUGGAGAGGCAAGGUGGCGGCGGACUGACGGUACCAUUGCCAGCCACAAGUGGCGAAAGCAUAAAGAGAACCAACAUGUGAGGCUGCUGGUUCACCGGUUCAAUGGCGGUUGACCCGUCGAAGCGUGGUUUAACAAUGUACGUAUUCCGUGUAUACUUCUUUCAACUUGGCGUUAACAUCGGACCAACAAUUCGUACUCGAACCUGCAACGUGCGGAGAGCCUCAUGGCUGCUCCUCGGCACACUUCGGUCAGACCGAUAUGAUGGCCGGUCGGAUCGGUUCACCGGCGAACCCGGUGAAGAAAACCAACAAACGCUCGCCUGGGAGGGAUCCCGUCAGAGAAGGUGCAUCUUGGGUUGUUCUAGGGUCGGUAGUCCACCCAAAACGUCCUUAAACGCCGUAGAGACGAAGGAAGAAUAAUAAGAUAGGUUUGGAAAAGCUAGGGCAAAGAGAAAAAGUAAAAAGACAAAAUAGUAGAUUGCUAAUGUUUUUUAUUGAUUGGAUGCCCCCAAUCGAUCGUGACCCUUUAUAUUUAUUGGGAGAGGAGGUGCUGCCACAUUAGGAGUCGAAACCCUAACAAAUUCUGUGUUAAAAUACAACUCCUAGCUCGGACUACACAGACCAAACUGGUCUGACCGCCUUGGCUAAUCGGUCUAACUAGUUUUCCUAGGUGCAGAUUUUCCCAAAGUCAUAACCUAGUCCGAACUCCAAAUCGAACCCUUUUCAUCUACUCAACGAGAGCUACACAAUGGUAAAAUCCAAUUUAUAUUUUGGAGAUUGUGGUCAGACCGAUUUAAUGAUCGGUGUGUCCUUAUCCUGCCAAUUUUGAUCGUGAACCCAACCACUUAAAGAAAUCGCGCUGCAUGGCUAGUGGCGACGGCUUUAAACCAACAAAACAGGGUUCGAACCUUCUCGUUUACCCGUAGUUUUAGGCUCGGGGCCUUCAAACUGUUACCUUGGGGACCACGUGUAGCCCCAUAGCUCACAAAAAUAUGCUCCUGAUGUCCGUUUAUCCCCUUAACCGAUUGUUUGAGUGAACCAGACCGGAUUUUUUCUGGUCCAACUAGUGGUCCGGUCCAUUUUUUCUUUCUAUGGGCAGAAGGUGCCCAUGUGACAAGGCCAUUGCGGGGGUGUCAACUGCCAAUAUGAUGUUCCAACAAAGUCGAGUGAGCACAACAGUAGAAAAGUGGUGACAAAUCUAGAUUAGCGAGACGAAGAAUAAGGCCGAGAGAUGAUCGAGUGGUUCUUCAUGGAGGCCCUUCUAAAGGCUUUUUCGCCAUGGUAGGAUUGAGAGUCACCAGGAGCUCUAAUGUUACAUCAUCAGAUCAUCACAUGCCUAUGAUAAUCGUUAUGACAUACUUACGGAUGAUUAUUAUCACAUACCUAAGUUCCAAGUCCUACGAUCAAGGAAAAUGUAAAGGUCUACUAGAAAGAAGCUGCGCUGAAAGCAACCCUUUCAGAGCGCACCCUUUUGGCUUCUUCGGACCGAGGCAAUACCAAACAACAAUUCUAGUAGAACAGGGAGAACAGAAGACUAGUCGAUUAAUUAGGACUAUGAUUCAUUAAGAUACUUUCAUUCUUAAAACCAAGCAAGCACGCUUGUUUGUCAAUUGUGAUGCAUACCAAAUCAUCUGGCAUGGCCAUGCUGAACAGAUUCAUGUUCAGAGCCAUGACUAUUUCUUAAUUUUGUUACAGCUCCCUCUUUCAAACUUAUUCGACUAUACGAAUUUUCAGGAUGCUUCAACAUUCUAUUCCUUACACCUGUUAAAUUUUCCCACAAUUAUAUUUUUAGGGAAUUGGGUGGGACAUGAUGAUUUACUUCACCGGAGUUUGAAACAACCACCACGCACCAUGAACAAUUUACAUUUCCAAUCCUACCUCUUUCAGUUUUGAAUUGGGAGAUUUCGUGGUGAUUAGAAAUUGUAAAACUUGUCUCAAGAAUCUUUUCGUGAUGAAAUCCUUUUUGAGGUCUGAGUCCUAGCCUCCUAGGUAAGUGCUUUGCAAACCAGAGGGUGAUCAAUAUUCCAAAUAAUGACCAAACCUCAUGUGCAUCUCUUAUUUAAUUUAUCAAUCUCAAGAAUAAAUUUGAUUAUGCAAUUCUAUGAGAUGUUUCUUCGCAACACAGUACCUGCAUCUAUCAUUUUUUCUUGAGUUUUUUUUUGCAGAGAUUAGAUCAUACAGAAAUAGUUUGAAUGAGCUUGCACGCAAAUGGAUCCAAGAGGGCCGGUGGGCUCCGUGUUUUAAGCUCAUUUCAGUUUGAAACUUCUCACGAUGUUGCUUGAUCAACUUUUAGUCCUAUCUCUACAAUCUUUUAUGGAGUUUUUUUGUGGUUAUUUGGUGCACAUGAACGCGGUUCUAUGUAUGUGUAAGAAGUUAAUUACUGCUGUUAUUUGAGUUUGACAUGACCCAUGGACCUUGGUAAAAGUAAACAGGUGCCUAUGCGAAGUGAAGUGAUGCGACGACGUCGACCAAUGCGUAUGUCUCCAAUGUGUGGCUUUUGUACUUCAUCUACCAUCUUGAAAUGAAGCUCCCCAAGUGAUGUUUAGAGUAAUCAGUCACCUGAUUAUAGCUUCUCAGCUCGAUCAGCCUGAAGGCACUGAUACAGAAUUGGCAUUUACACCAUUGUUUGAUGACAUGGAGCAGUGUUAGUCCAUAAAAGAGAGGAGGUGAAGGAGCGCAACACCACUGUUGCUUCUGCAAAGCUGAGAGAGACGAGUAAAAUUCCUUUUGAUGUAGCAAGGGAUGAAUGGUUGGCGGAAGCCGCUCCGGUGGCAUGCUUCGAUAGUAAGCUUGGGAGGUAUUGGGAGGUCUCGUGUUGCAUGAUAUCAUUCACAUUCGUCAAGGAAAUUGCAUCGAUCGGGCUUCCUGUAAAAACGGAGCCACCGUAAUAUGAGUGGAUUAAUUCAUAAUUUCAUAUCACAUCUGGUUGUAAUG
Setaria italica (foxtail millet) is the source of this 5735-nucleotide long non-coding RNA. RefSeq lists it as uncharacterized. Lineage: Eukaryota; Viridiplantae; Streptophyta; Magnoliopsida; Poales; Poaceae. The record is from RefSeq and is a predicted model, not a curated record. The transcript has 4 exons.